UAGGGAAUCUUCGGCAAUGGGGGGAACCCUGACCGAGCAACGCCGCGUGAGUGAAGAAGGUUUUCGGAUCGUAAAGCUCUGUUGUUAAGGAAGAACGAGUGUGAGAAUGGAAAGUUCAUACUGUGACGGUACUUAACCAGAAAGGGACGGCUAACUACGUGCCAGCAGCCGCGGUAAUACGUAGGUGGCAAGCGUUGUCCGGAUUUAUUGGGCGUAAAGCGAGCGCAGGCGGUCAAUUAAGUCUGAUGUGAAAGCCCCCGGCUCAACCGGGGAGGGUCAUUGGAAACUGGUUGACUUGAGUGCAGAAGAGGAGAGUGGAAUUCCAUGUGUAGCGGUGAAAUGCGUAGAUAUAUGGAGGAACACCAGUGGCGAAGGCGACUCUCUGGUAUGUAACUGACGCUGAGGUUCGAAAGCGUGGGUAGCAAACAGG
This 430-nucleotide ribosomal RNA is filed under the name Bacteroidota bacterium. RNAcentral's name for it is "Bacteroidetes bacterium partial 16S ribosomal RNA". It matches the Rfam family "Bacterial small subunit ribosomal RNA", at positions 355 to 776 of the family's 1533-position model. Lineage: Bacteria; Pseudomonadati; Bacteroidota. The record is from RNAcentral.